AUUGUUUGACCAAGUUUGUAGAACAAUAUCUCAACAUCUACAACACUAAAUUAGUUUUAUUAGUGAUAUACUUAUUUGAUAUUGUAGAUAUGAGUCAAAGUUUUGCUACAGACUAAGAUUACUCCCUUCGUUCUAAAAUAUAAGGGUUCUAGCUUUGUCCCGAAUCAAACUAGCUUAUUAUUGUUCGACCAAGUUUGUAGAACAAU
This is a non-coding RNA of Brachypodium distachyon (stiff brome), 206 nucleotides long. NCBI's taxonomy places the organism in Eukaryota, Viridiplantae, Streptophyta, Magnoliopsida, Poales, Poaceae. The record is from RefSeq and is marked provisional.